This 66-nucleotide transfer RNA is filed under the name human gut metagenome. It matches the Rfam family "tRNA", at positions 5 to 66 of the family's 71-position model. Rfam says of the family: Transfer RNA (tRNA) molecules are approximately 80 nucleotides in length. The record is from RNAcentral.
GAGUGGCGCAAUUGGUAGCGCAGCGGUCUCCAAAACCGUUGGUUGGGGGUUCGAGUCCCUCUUCUC